GUGAAAGGAGAGCAUGAGGAGCGUGGGGCAUGUGAGCUGCACCUUGGAAGCGGAGUCUGUCUAAUUUGGUCGCCAGCACCUUGCAGGCUGCUCGAGAAGGUACUUACAUGACCCUGUGAGAUCCCAUCCUUGUGAUGCAGGCUGGCCGGGGCUGAGGACGGAGAGGGAGUCCUCGGAACCAGUCAAGAAGGUCUUUGGCUUCGUGCAGGAUAGAAAUCAAAGGUGAGGGGCGCCUGGGUGGCUCAGUUGUUAAGC
Molecule: long non-coding RNA, 255 nt
Filed under: Zalophus californianus (California sea lion)
Lineage: Eukaryota; Metazoa; Chordata; Mammalia; Carnivora; Otariidae
Description: lncRNA (ENSZCAG00015017645.1)
Source: RNAcentral